UUUUUUGGUUGGGCACACUCCAUGUGACCAUAACGACAAUGAGAACAGUCCUUCGUUCCCACUGAACCAGACAGUUCUGGAAGCUGAGAAGACAUCGUCACAACACCACCUUGCAGAGUCCAGCACUUCAGGAUUCUGAAGGAUGUUCGCAGCCUGUUCAGCGUUAUCCUUGACAUCCCCAGAGGUGUGCUUCCUGCUGCUCUGCUGAGACCAAACCCAGAGAGGGGCUCCCUGCCCUCUGGAAUCCAGGAAGGGCCCAGAUGCACUGGCCUCGAAUUAAAGAUUGAACGUGAACUCACCUGUGGCGCUGGUACCUGGUCACCUGGCCAGUGACUCCGUGGUCACUCACAGACUCACUCUGUCAUUUAUCUGAGUAGCUAGCUACUGGGUGCUCUAUUCCAUUUCGAGAGAAAAGGAAUAGAUCAAGCCUGUCCUCCGUGGAAAGACAAGAACUGAGAUCAAGAAUACUUAGAGGCAAAAAAAAAAAAAAAUACUUAGAGGCAGUCUGUCGAUGACAGGAA
Molecule: long non-coding RNA, 521 nt
Organism: Canis lupus familiaris (dog)
Lineage: Eukaryota; Metazoa; Chordata; Mammalia; Carnivora; Canidae
Exons: 2
Source: RefSeq, a predicted model, not a curated record